CCAGACUCCUACGGGAGGCAGCAGUAGGGAAUCUUCGGCAAUGGACGGAAGUCUGACCGAGCAGCGCCGCGUGAGUGAAGAAGGUUUUCGGAUCGUAAAGCUCUGUUGUAAGAGAAGAACGAGUGUGAGAGUGGAAAGUUCACACUGUGACGGUAUCUUACCAGAAAGGGACGGCUAACUACGUGCCAGCAGCCGCGGUAAUACGUAGGUCCCGAGCGUUGUCCGGAUUUAUUGGGCGUAAAGCGAGCGCAGGCGGUUAGAUAAGUCUGAAGUUAAAGGCUGUGGCUUAACCAUAGUACGCUUUGGAAACUGUUUAACUUGAGUGCAAGAGGGGAGAGUGGAAUUCCAUGUGUAGCGGUGAAAUGCGUAGAUAUAUGGAGGAACACCGGUGGCGAAAGCGGCUCUCUGGCUUGUAACUGACGCUGAGGCUCGAAAGCGUGGGGAGCAAACAGGAUUAGAUACCCUGGUAGUCCACGCCGUAAACGAUGAGUGCUAGGUGUUAGACCCUUUCCGGGGUUUAGUGCCGCAGCUAACGCAUUAAGCACUCCGCCUGGGGAGUACGACCGCAAGGUUGAAACUCAAAGGAAUUGACGGGGGCCCGCACAAG
This 607-nucleotide ribosomal RNA is filed under the name uncultured bacterium. Its description in RNAcentral is "bacterial SSU rRNA". It matches the Rfam family "Bacterial small subunit ribosomal RNA", at positions 331 to 929 of the family's 1533-position model. The record is from RNAcentral.